AAUCCAGACAGCUAGCUAGACUAUCUGUCCAAUCUGAGGACUAUGGUUACCUGUCCUCAGAUCUCUGCAGGGUAAAUCCAGACAGCUAGCUAGACUAUCUGUCCAUCUGAGGACUAUGGUUACCUGGUCCUCAGAUCUCUGUAGGGUAAAUCCAGACAGCUAGCUAGACUAUCUGUCUAAUCUGAGUUUUCUGUUGCACGACUAAAACUACGGUCCGCCAAAACAAGUUCCUUCUUGAGGCUUUUAGCAGCGGCAAUGCGGAUCUCCUCUUCCGGGGUACGUUUUGGAGGAAGGUCUGGCAGAGAGAGACGAUGCCGGAGCAAGCACAGCCCGCUCUGCGGCUUGUUUGAAUUGAGUUGACCAGUCACAACAGAGUGGGCCAGCUGACCAAUCAGAGCAGACUGGGCUUUUCAGGAAGGCGGGCCUUGAGCUCAGGCCGAGCGUUUCAGGCAGAGGAGCUGAAGCAAUGGGCAGUACAAGAACCAUGUUUCAGGAGAAUAGUAGGGGCUCUUUAAAAUAGUGUGGUGCUCCUCCAUAAUCGAGGGAAACAAUACAAAUUAAUAUAGGAGAUAUAUUUGGAAAAGAGGUUCACAACCGCCAAAGUCCUUAAUGGAUGUUACUAUGAGCCCAACACUGUUUUCUUCUUAUUUUCUUUUUAUAUCCGUGGGGACAUUGGCCAGGUCUUUGUCCCCUGGACAGAGAGGUAGUGGAGCUGCAGAUUGGUGCACAGGUACUCUAAAUGAUGUCACUGGGAUUUGCCCAAAAUUAAAGUCACAUUGCUAGCUACUGAAAAGCAUUGAGGACACUUAAACUGCCACAUAACUAUUUGCAGUAAUAACAGCUUUGAAUAGUGUUGUAGUAAUGACCAUAAUUUUAAAAAAAAAACAGUAACCGUUUAUCUUCAACAUCAGCUGAUAAGCCAUAUCAAACACUGGCAGGGUACUUUUCUCUGCACUGGCCUUCUCCCCAGAUCUUAGCACUAACAUUGUUUCAGUAUUGACAGAAAACUGGCAGUGUUAUGUCACAUCGUGUUGGGAAGUCUAAUCAAUACAGAUGUUUCAGUGCUGUCUGAAACUGGGCCCAGAAGGGCAGCAUCAUUCAAAAACACCUUAGUUCGGGUGAGCCGCUGGGUGAGGAUUGAUGAAAUGUCAGCUGAUAGAGGGUUUUUUCCCCCCAAAUGAUCACAAUGUGUGCUAUAAAACACCUCCCCACACACAUGACUUUGAAAGGGAGCUCCUAAAACAUAACUUGUACUAAUCUGUGUGGACAGACUAAUCUGUUGGAGUCGUCCCAAACAUGUUGUGAACGCACUACAGAUUAGAGAUAACACUGUUCUCCACACGCCAUAUUCCUAUCUCUGAAAUUGGAUGAUAAAGGCUAAUGUCCCUUUUGUGCUGAACACAGUUUAAAAAACCAAAAACCAAAGGUCUGUUUCAGAAGCUCAAGAAAGAGCUGAUGGCAGUGUGUGGAGAAAGCGUUUCAACCAAUUAAAGAUGCACAUUUCUUUACAGUUGACAUGCUAGAGGAUGCUGAACGAGAAUACGGGCACUAAACCGGGUCAUGGGGAUCUAUUUCUUUAGGCUAUACAUUAAAGAUGUUGCCAUAAUGUUGAUGUCAGGCUUUACUGUGCAUUUUAAGUGUGAUGUCAUCAAGUCAGUUUCAUUUCUCUGUUUUUUUUACAAAUUGUGGGAUCACCUUUGUUUACAAAUUCACAAGAGGUUCAGUUUGUGUAACUCUGGCAAAGAUAUGUCUCGUGGUUGCCU
Molecule: long non-coding RNA, 1763 nt
Organism: Etheostoma spectabile (orangethroat darter)
Lineage: Eukaryota; Metazoa; Chordata; Actinopteri; Perciformes; Percidae
Exons: 2
Source: RefSeq, a predicted model, not a curated record